Molecule: ribosomal RNA, 399 nt
Filed under: uncultured bacterium
Lineage: Bacteria
Description: bacterial SSU rRNA
Rfam family: Bacterial small subunit ribosomal RNA
Source: RNAcentral
AGCGAACGCUGGCGGCGUGCCUAACACAUGCAAGUCGAACGGUUCUGUUGGGGGCUUGCUCUCGACAGAGUAGUGGCAAACGGGUGAGUAACACGUGGGUAAUCUUCCUUCGAGUGAGGAAUAACUUCGGGAAACCGGAGCUAAUACCGCAUAACAUCUUGGAACGGCAGUUUCAAGAUCAAAGGGGGCGCAAGCUCCCGCUUGAAGUUGAGCUCGCGUCCUAUCAGCUAGUUGGUGAGGUAAUGGCUCACCAAGGCUCCGACGGGUAGCCGGCCUGAGAGGGUGGCCGGCCACACUGGGACUGAGACACGGCCCAGACUCCUACGGGAGGCAGCAGUGGGGAAUAUUGCGCAAUGGACGAAAGUCUGACGCAGCGACGCCGCGUGGGUGAUGAAGGCC